AAAAGUAACACAAUAAUAAACAAGUUAAGGAGAUAGAGAGAAAGAUCACACAAGCAAUUUAUACUGGUUCCUCUCACAAAACGAGAGUAGUCCAGUCCCCUUGCACUUCCAAGGGAGUUCACUAUAAUCACACAAGAUUACACCUGCUCAAGCACACAAGCAAGAGACUUCACAACUAUGCUCAAGCACACAAGCUUAAGACUACACACUUAAACACACAAGUUUAAGUUACACACUUAAGCACACAAGCUUAAGUUUCCUCAAGUAAUGGUAAAGUAUAUAAAAAUAUACAAAUGCUCUUAGAUGAACCUAAAGAGAACAAAUACAAAUAGUACAGAGUAUUUGGCUAAAGU
This 353-nucleotide long non-coding RNA is filed under the name Trifolium pratense (red clover). RNAcentral's name for it is "long non-coding RNA (TPRA_LNC009787)". The record is from RNAcentral. Lineage: Eukaryota; Viridiplantae; Streptophyta; Magnoliopsida; Fabales; Fabaceae.